GACGAACGCUGGCGGCGUGCUUAACACAUGCAAGUCGAACGGAAAGGCCCUGCUUUUGUGGGGUGCUCGAGUGGCGAACGGGUGAGUAACACGUGAGUAACCUGCCCUUGACUUUGGGAUAACUUCAGGAAACUGGGUCUAAUACCGGAUAGGAGCUCCUGCUGCAUGGUGGGGGUUGGAAAGUUUCGGCGGUUGGGGAUGGACUCGCGGCUUAUCAGCUUGUUGGUGGGGUAGUGGCUUACCAAGGCUUUGACGGGUAGCCGGCCUGAGAGGGUGACCGGCCACAUUGGGACUGAGAUACGGCCCAGACUCCUACGGGAGGCAGCAGUGGGGAAUAUUGCACAAUGGGCGGAAGCCUGAUGCAGCAACGCCGCGUGCGGGAUGACGGCCUUCGGGUUGUAAACCGCUUUCGCCUGUGACGAAGCGUGAGAGACGGUAAUGGGUAAAGAAGCACCGGCUAACUACGUG
This 468-nucleotide ribosomal RNA is filed under the name uncultured bacterium. Its description in RNAcentral is "partial 16S ribosomal RNA". It matches the Rfam family "Bacterial small subunit ribosomal RNA", at positions 28 to 507 of the family's 1533-position model. The record is from RNAcentral.